AGAAUUUUAGUGAAUAUGAUAAUGUUAAGGAAUACUUUAAGUAUAUAUUGAACUUUGUAUAUCAUAAAUUUCUUCUUGUAAGAUUAAAAUAAAGAAGAGACAUGGCUAAAAACAAUAGUACGACGCAUGCACUAAUGUUGUUGAUUACUAUUGUAGUGAUUAGUAGUUGUGCUUCUGUUGAAUUAGAUGGCAAUAUUCAUGAAUUUCCUUCCAAGAGUAAAAGGCUGAGGGAGUGUAUUGCUAAAUGCAAUCAUCGUUAUUUGCGUUUGCCUUCUACGUCUUAUUCGGAAAAGAUUGAAAAGCUUUCGAAUUGCAUUCGGGAAUGUUAUGCUACGUAUUACAAUGUUGGUGUCUAUUACUAUAUGCGGAUCUAUAGACGCCGUGCGGAUGAGAUCACGUUGUAGUAAGGCUCAAGGUGGCGCUAUGAUAGACGAUACAUAAGGUGAUAUUGAUGAUGGCCUAUUAUUGUGGCAUUAUGAUGAUAAAUGACAUUAUUUAUAUUAACGAUAACGACCUAUGACAUUGUGAUGACAAUUGAGAUUAUGAAAAUUAAUGUUGAGAUUAAUUAUUUCUGCCUUA
Molecule: non-coding RNA, 579 nt
Organism: Arachis ipaensis
Lineage: Eukaryota; Viridiplantae; Streptophyta; Magnoliopsida; Fabales; Fabaceae
Source: RefSeq, a predicted model, not a curated record